CACACACACAGUGGACUAAUGGACUGCAACUAGCCUGAUGCUGAACUGGACCCAACUGCAAUAUGGAACAGAAACUUUGGACAUUGGCUUUGCUUGUAGCUCUACUGAAACCCCAGCUAUGCCUCCUCUACAAUUGGACUCAGGGAAAUGGAACUUUGAAAACCCUAGGAUGAAAUUUUUCAAAAAUAAAAGU
This is a long non-coding RNA of Myotis davidii, 193 nucleotides long. RefSeq lists it as uncharacterized. The transcript has 3 exons. Lineage: Eukaryota; Metazoa; Chordata; Mammalia; Chiroptera; Vespertilionidae. The record is from RefSeq and is a predicted model, not a curated record.